Non-coding RNA from Manis javanica (Malayan pangolin), 2810 nucleotides. The record is from RefSeq and is a predicted model, not a curated record. NCBI's taxonomy places the organism in Eukaryota, Metazoa, Chordata, Mammalia, Pholidota, Manidae.
AGCAUUAUUUAAAGCAGAGCUUCAAGAGGCACUGCGAGAUUUUAAGCAAGAGCAGAAACUGGUGCACAAUGUUUUUGCUUUUCCAUCAAGUUAGCAGAGAUUGUCCGUCUGCCAUUUGUGCAGGUGCCCUGGGGGAAAUGCACACCGAACCAGCUGUCGCCUUGGCCUGCAGGGAGCUCACCCCCUUGCUGCUCACAGAUGGCUGAACUGGAUCCCAUGAUGCGGUGGGUGGGAGAGGGAGAAGGGGCGGCCACUGGAGGAGGGCAUUCCCACUCUGAAAGGAGACACUGGCAGGAGUAAAGUGGUUACGAAGCCCCGCAGGGCAAGUUGCGUUAGGCUCCACGGGUUUGCCCCUGUGCCCUCGGUCUCCUGGCAGCAGAGGCCACCCCGCCAGUGGCUGAGCUGCCCUGAGUCCCUCGUCCUGUUCCUUGAAGGCUAAGCCGGUCCCCGGGCCGGCUCUCUGCAGCAGGCUUCCUGCCUGCAGAGUCGUGCACGUGGAGGGGGCCCAUCCUGCAGCAGAGAGCCUAGGACCUGUGGCAGCAGGGAACGCCAUCAGCUCCGCUGGCCUUCCAGCAGCUCUGUCCUGUGUCCUGGUGAGGCCCCUGUGGGUGGCGCUCUUCUCCAUGUACAUUGCAAGAGGGGCGGCCAGGCAGUAAUGCUUGUACUGGAUAUUGAGCCCCCCUGAUCCCAAGUCACUUGCUUUUGUUGCCUUUUCCGCCGGUGCCCAAGGGCCCAUGCAACCAGGCUCUCCUUCCCUCUUCUACGUGUUAGGCCAAGUGUAAUGCUUUGCUCCUCGUGGGUCCAAAGCCAGACACUUGAUUUGAGAAAGAUGCUCCUGAGCACUAUAGAAGCCCAAGUUCUGCCAGGGCCUGGUUUCCUAGAGCUCGAUUUCUAAAAGGCAGGGAUUGGCAGAAGGGGCAGUGACAGGGCUUCCUGCCUGGCCACCCAGGGCUUUGCGGUACCACCCAGGGCGCUGUUGUGCCUGAGUUCCUGAGGCCGGAAGGGGUGUGUUGGGUGGACACAUCGAUGUGCUAGGAGUCUGGGUGGACCGCCAAACACAUGCCAAGCCUCCCCAGUAGCUACGACACUAGCUUGUCCCUAAAUCGGUACAUGUCAACCCCAAUGUGAUAAGCAGGCAGUCCCCUCCAGAUUAACCCUCCUGAGAUACGAGCUGCCUCCAUGUCAUGCCUCCGAGGCUCAUCAUGUGCUUCUUUUGAGCAACAGUUGGCAGCUGGUCUCUCCUCUGCACAGGGCCUGCCUUGCUCUCCAUCUGAUUGGCAGGGGCUAGAGUCUGGAAGGGGGUGGGGAGGAUGCAGGGAACCCGGGCAUGCCCUGUGGACAUGGUCACUGGGUGACUCCAUCACCCUAAACACACCUCAUGACACGUCCUUUAGGUCUGGGAAGGACCUUUAGGGCCAGAAAGUGUUAACGAAAAAUUCCUCAGUCGAUGAGUGUACCCUAGGACUUGGGGAGACACUUUUUGCCAAAGAAGCCCAAAGCUAUGCUGGGUGGGGCAGCUGUGGAACCCCAUUGUCCCAGCUGGCACGCCCGGUGAACUCUGGCUUAGGUCUUGCAGUCAGUGCCUUUUAAUAAGAUUAUGGCAUGGGAACAGAUGCCAUAUAUCCUGAGAAAAGAUAGUUGUUGCUCUCAUGAGACUCAAGUUCAUAUGCACCUCGAGGGAGAGCCCUCUGUGGUGGGGACACCCGCCCCUGCUGCAGCCAUGUGACCCCUCGGGCAACAGCAGGACAUCUGUCCUUGUGUGUCCUCAUCUGUGCAGCGUCUGUGCAGUCCGGGCAGCAUUGGUUGGAGCUUUCGGGGGAAGGCGGUGGGCUGUCCUUGAGCAGCGGGGCUGGAGCGUUCUGUGGCCACGCUGUCACUGAGCCCCUCAGCGUGUUCUUCCAGCCUGGCCCUGACCCUGUGAUCAGGAGUGUGGGAGUCCCUUGAUGUGGCUUAACCUGGUCUGUAGGAGCUGCUGGUAUGAUGAUGGCUGGUGAUAGCAAUUUGAGGCAAGUGUUUUCUAACUUCUCCAGGUCUCCCUUUUCAAACACUUAAAAUCCUGACCUUGAGAAAGUUUGGGACUUUUUUGUCACUUAGAUAAAUCUGAGCAAUUAAUUUUUUAAUGGUUCCCAGGUCUUGCAUCUCCACUUUUUCCUUUAAUUCCUUUAUGUUUGAUCAGUUGGAAAAGAUAGCAUCUGAAAAUAUAUGGAAAAAAUUAGUAUGUGGCCCAGGGACAGCUGGAAACCAUGGGAAGAGGGGGAGUCACAUUAGAUGCCACAUCGAAUGCCAUCGUGGCCCUUGCCACGGACACCGUUGUUGUUUGUGUUGGUCGGUGGCCUUUUGACGAUGACAAGUAUAACCUCUUAGAUCUCCAACAGUAGGUAGUAGAAGUUGUGGGUUCCUCCUGCCUGGUCCCCAGAUAAUCCCACUUCCACCUGGAGGCCCCCUAGCCCCGCACCAUUUUCCCCCCUCAGUUACACAUGUAUUGGUUGUGGGUCUUCUGUCCCUUUUCCCCAAAUAUGCAGUGGGUUCAGUAGUGAAGCACGACAUAGAGGAGUCUUACUAUCCUGUCGCCCCCACUGAACAGGGAAGCCUCGUGAAUUUAGAAACUGGACAUUUAACUCUCUGCACACAUGGCCAAGUGCAGUAACUGGCGUGGAGCACCGAGAUACAUGUCUGGAGGCAGGAAGCCUGGGAUCAGGAUGCCAGGGAGGCUGGUUCUGGUGUGGACGCUCUUCCUGACUUGUGGCUGGCCAUGUCCUCUUUGUGGCCUCCUGUGGCAGGACGAGUGAGGCCGGGAGAGAGACAGAGCC